AGCGAACGCUGGCGGCGUGCCUAACACAUGCAAGUCGAACGUGAAAGGGAGCAAUCCUGAGUAAAGUGGCGUACGGGUGAGUAAUGCGUAGGUAAUCUAACUUUUAGUUUGGAAUAACCUGCCGAAAGGCGGGCUAAUACUGGAUAGGUCGAAGGGGCUAUAGAGGUCACUUCGGGAAAGGGAGCUAGCAAUAGCCCUCGCUAAAAGUUGAGCUUACGUUCCAUUAGGUAGUUGGUGGGGUAAAGGCCCACCAAGCCAACGAUCUGUAGCUGGUCUGAGAGGACGACCAGCCACACUGGAACUGAGACACGGUCCAGACUCCUACGGGAGGCAGCAGUGGGGAAUUUUGGACAAUGGGCGAAAGCCUGAUCCAGCCAUUCCGCGUGCAGGAUGAAGGCCCUCGGGUUGUAAACUGCUUUUGUACAGAACGAAAAGGUUUCUACUAAUACUAGGAGCUCAUGACGGUACUGUAAGAAUAAGCACCGGCUAACUACGUGCCAGCCGCCGCAGUAA
This 513-nucleotide ribosomal RNA is filed under the name uncultured bacterium. RNAcentral describes it as "partial 16S ribosomal RNA". It matches the Rfam family "Bacterial small subunit ribosomal RNA", at positions 29 to 523 of the family's 1533-position model. The record is from RNAcentral.